ACCUUCUAGAUUCCUUAUCUCUCAGGUCUAAAUACUGGUGUGAGUGGCUACAAAAGGAGGAAAAGUAAGACUGAAGUGGACUGGGAGUCUUUAGUGACAUACAAGUUCAUUUCAAACAUAU
This 121-nucleotide small nucleolar RNA is filed under the name Echinops telfairi (small Madagascar hedgehog). RNAcentral's name for it is "Small nucleolar RNA SNORA61 (ENSETEG00000024802.1)". Lineage: Eukaryota; Metazoa; Chordata; Mammalia; Afrosoricida; Tenrecidae. The record is from RNAcentral.